UUUAGUUAAAAAUUAAAAUUUUAAUAUUAUUAUAAAAGUAAUUUUAAUUAUAAAUAUUUUAAAUGGGGGUUUAAGUAUAUUUAUAAGAAAAAAUUAAUUAUUUUAUACGUAAAUUAGUAUUGUAAAAUAAAUUUGAAAUAUUUUUAAAAUAAAUUAUUUUAUAAAUAAUUUUUAUUUAAUGUAUUUUGUGUAUCAAAGUUUAUUAAAAUUAUUUUAAAUUUUUAAAAUUCUCGAAUUUAAAAGAGCUAAUUAUUUAUAAAAUUUAAUGUAGCAAAAUUAUUUUUUAUAAAUAAUUUGUAAUGAAAUGUUAAUCGUUUUUAAAUAUAUCUAGUUUUUUUAGAAAAAAAUUUAAUUUUAAAAUUAUUUUAAAAAUUUAAUUUUUAUUUAUUAAAUUUUAAUUUAAUUUUUAUAUUUUAAGGGAUAAGCUUUAAAUUAAAUUUUUAAAUAUAAUAAUUUAAAUUAAUUAAAAAUUUUAUAAUUUAUAUUGUUAAUAAAAUUUUAUUUAUAAUAAAUAAUUUUAAUUUAAUUAAAAUUUAAUUAUUUUAUUAAUUUUUUAUAAAAAUUUUAUUAAAAAUUUUAAUUAAUAAGUAAUAAUGAUAAAAUUAGUAUAUUUUUAUUUAAAUUUAUUAUUAAAAUAAAUUUUAAUUUAAUUUAAAGAAUUCGACAAAAAUUUAUAUUCACUUGUUUAUUAAAAACAUGUCUUUUUGCAAUAAUUUAAAGUCUAAUCUGCCCACUGAUAUUUAAUAUUUAAAGGCUGCAGUAUAUUAACUGUACAAAGGUAGCAUAAUCAAUAGUCUUUUAAUUGAUGACUUGAAUGAAUGAUUUGAUGAAAUAUAAAGUGUUUCAAAUUAAUAUAAUUGAAUUUAAUUUUUUAUUUAAAAAGAUAAAGUUUUUUUAAAAGACGAGAAGACCCUAUAGAGUUUUAUUAAUAUAUAAAUUUUAAUUUUUUAUAAAUUUUUAAUUUAAAUUUAUGUCUUAAUUUUAUUGGGGUGAUAAAAAAAUUAAAUAAACUUUUUUAAAAAUUUACUUAAUAAAAGAAUAUUUGAUCCAUAAUUUUUGAUUAAAAGAUAAAAUUACCUUAGGGAUAACAGCGUAAUUUUUUUUUUUAGUUCACAUAAAAAUAAAAGUUUGCGACCUCGAUGUUGGAUUAAGAUAAAAUUUAAAUGGAAAAGUUUAAAAUUUUGAUCUGUUCGAUCAUUAAAAUCUUACAUGAUCUGAGUUUAAACCGGUUUAAGCCAGGUUGGUUUCUAUCUUUAAAUAUAUUUUUUUAAUAUUUUUGUACGAAAGGAUCAUUUAUUAUAAAUAAUUUAAUAAAAAUGAAUGUUAUUAAUUUUCUUUAAAUUAUA
RNAcentral lists this ribosomal RNA (1346 nucleotides) under Amorophaga japonica. Its description in RNAcentral is "16S ribosomal RNA". The record is from RNAcentral. Lineage: Eukaryota; Metazoa; Arthropoda; Insecta; Lepidoptera; Tineidae.